UACACUCCUGCGGGAGGCAGCAGUGAGGAAUAUUGGCCAAUGGGUGGAAGCCUGAUCCAGCCAUCCCGCGUGCAGGAAGACGGCCCUAUGGGUUGUAAACUGCUUUUAUCUGGGGAUAAACCUACUUACGUGUAAGUAGCUGAAGGUACCAGAAGAAUAAGCACCGGCUAACUCCGUGCCAGCAGCCGCGGUAAUACGGAGGGUGCAAGCGUUAUCCGGAUUUAUUGGGUUUAAAGGGUCCGUAGGCGGACUGAUAAGUCAGUGGUGAAAUCCGACAGCUUAACUGUCGAACUGCCAUUGAUACUGUUAGUCUUGAGUAAGGUUGAAGUGGCUGGAAUAAGUAGUGUAGCGGUGAAAUGCAUAGAUAUUACUUAGAACACCAAUUGCGAAGGCAGGUCACUAAGUCUUAACUGACGCUGAUGGACGAAAGCGUGGGGAGCGAACAGGAUUAGAAACCCCUGUAGUCCCAUGA
Molecule: ribosomal RNA, 472 nt
Filed under: uncultured organism
Description: partial 16S ribosomal RNA
Rfam family: Bacterial small subunit ribosomal RNA
Source: RNAcentral